UCUAGACAGGAAGCCAUCGAAGAGAACUCUGAUAGGGAUCACAGUUGAUGGCUCCUGGUGGUGUAGGGAUGAAGAAGGGACUCGGUUUUCUUUAAGGGGAGGACUGCUUGGAGUUUGGCCACGCUCCAUUCCACCAACUGGGAACCGAUUAAGAGUGGAAGCCAUUCUCAUUCAAACCAGUGAUGUAGUGUACAACGAGAAACAGAAACAAGAGUUGAUCCCUGGGGAAGAAACAGACUAUAGAACAGCCAGAAAACCAGGAGAGUGGUUAUGGUGACAGAAGAGAGAGUGGACAGAAGAAUGCUAGUUAACAUCACCGGGAGCUUCAAAUUAACCAGACUAGCUGUAUGUAGAGUGCUGUUCUAGCACAAUGCAAACCAAUGGCACCAUACUAUAGCUCCCAGGCAGCCACGCCAUCACCAAGGCAGCUUUUCUGCAAUGAGAGUACAUUGCUUAUUUGAAAACAUAGAUGUGUCCUUGGCAAUAAGUCAUCAUGGAUGUUUUAACAUUAGUGGUCUCUACCCCUGUCAUUGAGGAGUUCUGAUUUGCUGUUCUUCAAAUCCACCCACAGCUUUAUCCCUGAGAAAAUGGCAACAAUCCAGCAGAAACCAAAAACGUGUACCUAAAGGAAUGAAAAGGGUUUUAUUUCACUUAUUUUGGGUGGGAUUUUUGGGGGGCGGGGGUUCUGCCUGGGUGUGUGUUGUUCAGAGAGGAAGUAUAUGUCAAUAGAAAAGAAUGUAAUUCUUUGCAGGGAAAUAGAUGGCCAGUGGACAAAAAGAGAAACGCUAGUGCAUGCUUCUUGAAGUUUCUUCACGCUCAGACGAGCUCUCCUCCCUAGUUGGAGGAAUCAGUCAACCACUCACCCACACAAACUUCAGUGUCUGGAGAGUAGGAAUAUGGUGUCUUCCCAGUGAUUAUGAGGUGCCAGUGUGUUUUGAGAUAUGACCUAUGAAACUGACUUUGUUUUUUGGAAAAGUUGACACCUCUUUGGGCUUCAGUUUCUCAACUGUAAAAUCCUAUCCAUCUGCCAACCCUGAGGAAAAGUCCACUGAUGGAGGGAUUAUGUUUGUCCCAUUUUUGU
Long non-coding RNA from Mesocricetus auratus (golden hamster), 1081 nucleotides. RefSeq lists it as uncharacterized. The record is from RefSeq and is a predicted model, not a curated record. The transcript has 4 exons. Lineage: Eukaryota; Metazoa; Chordata; Mammalia; Rodentia; Cricetidae.